This 67-nucleotide ribosomal RNA is filed under the name Anopheles sinensis. RNAcentral's name for it is "partial 28S ribosomal RNA". It matches the Rfam family "Eukaryotic large subunit ribosomal RNA", at positions 1 to 69 of the family's 3401-position model. RNAcentral also lists the same sequence under 2 other names. Lineage: Eukaryota; Metazoa; Arthropoda; Insecta; Diptera; Culicidae. The record is from RNAcentral.
GCCUCAAGUUAUGUGUGACAACCCCCUGAAUUUAAGCAUAUUAAUAAGGGGAGGAAAAGAAACCAAC